UGGGAUAACUACCGGAAACGGUAGCUAAUACCGGAUAAUUCAUGCUGCUGCAUGGCAGCGUGAUGAAAGACGGAGCAAUCUGUCACUUGAGGAUGGGCCUGCGGCGCAUUAGCUAGUUGGUGGGGUAAUGGCCUACCAAGGCGACGAUGCGUAGCCGACCUGAGAGGGUGAUCGGCCACACUGGGACUGAGACACGGCCCAGACUCCUACGGGAGGCAGCAGUAGGGAAUCUUCCGCAAUGGGCGAAAGCCUGACGGAGCAACGCCGCGUGAGUGAUGAAGGUUUUCGGAUCGUAAAGCUCUGUUGCCAGGGAAGAACGUCCUUAAGAGUAACUGCUUAAGGAGUGACGGUACCUGAGAAGAAAGCCCCGGCUAACUACGUGCCAGCAGCCGCGGUAAUACGUAGGGGGCAAGCGUUGUCCGGAAUUAUUGGGCGUAAAGCGCGCGCAGGCGGCUGUUUAAGUCUGGUGUUUAAGCCCGGGGCUCAACCCCGGUUCGCACUGGAAACUGGAUGGCUUGAGUGCAAAAAAGGAGAGUGGAAUUCCACGUGUAGCGGUGAAAUGCGUACAGAUGUGGAGGAACACCAGUGGCGAAGGCGACUCUCUGGGGCUGUAAACUGACGCUGAGGCG
Molecule: ribosomal RNA, 629 nt
Filed under: Paenibacillus sp. RR B2
Lineage: Bacteria; Bacillati; Bacillota; Bacilli; Caryophanales; Paenibacillaceae
Description: bacterial SSU rRNA
Rfam family: Bacterial small subunit ribosomal RNA
Source: RNAcentral